Molecule: ribosomal RNA, 253 nt
Filed under: uncultured bacterium
Lineage: Bacteria
Description: partial 16S ribosomal RNA
Rfam family: Archaeal small subunit ribosomal RNA
Source: RNAcentral
UACCAGCACCCCGAGUGGUCGGGACGUUUAUUGGGCCUAAAGCAUCCGUAGCCGGUUCUACAAGUCUUCCGUUAAAUCCACCUGCUUAACAGAUGGGCUGCGGAAGAUACUAUGGAGCUAGGAGGCGGGAGAGGCAAGCGGUACUCGAUGGGUAGGGGUAAAAUCCGUUGAUCCAUUGAAGACCACCAGUGGCGAAGGCGGCAUUCUGGACCAUUACUGACGCUGAGGAGCGAAAGCCAGGGGAGCAAACGGG